RNAcentral lists this unclassified non-coding RNA (396 nucleotides) under fungal sp. Its description in RNAcentral is "partial internal transcribed spacer region". The stretch from base 1 to 46 matches the Rfam family "Eukaryotic small subunit ribosomal RNA", at positions 1786 to 1831 of the family's 1831-position model. Lineage: Eukaryota; Fungi. The record is from RNAcentral.
AAGUCGUAACAUGGUUUCCGUAGGUGAACCUGCGGAAGGAUCAUUAACACGUAUCCAGCGUUAAACAACCCUGUGAACCUUUAUUGCUGCUCUCCUUGUCCAUUGAUAAAGCAAUUCAUGGUAAAUCACGUGAACGGUUUGAUUCAGGGACCUCUUUUGAUAUGCACUUGGAUUCGAUGCGGCGUCGUAAUUUAGACUUGGGUUCUGGAAGGCCAUCAACGAGUAAAAUCGUUGACGGACGAUAAAGGAUGCUGUCUAAAAAGCAGAUCACUGGUCCUCACAGUGGACAAGUCUCUGGGCUUCGGCCCCCCAUAUUAACCCCAAUUUUCCAUCGGAGGAUGCGGAAACGCUCCUCAUAAAAACGAGCAACUGUUAACAAUGGAUAUCUUGGUUCUC